UUUUUUCUUGAUGAGUCUGACAAGUUUUAUCAAUUUUGUUUUUUAAUAUAUAAUUAAAUCCAACUGAUUUAAUGUGUCAUUUAAUACCAGUGUUUUCUUAUAGAUUUUCUGUCUGCAUGACCUGUCCAUUGGUUCAAGCAGGUUGUUAAAAUCCCCCACUAUUAUGUUACUGUCAAUUUCUUCCUUAUGUAUGCGUACAUUUGCUUUAUGUAUUUAUCUGUCCCUACUUUGGAUGAAUAUAUAUUUACCAUUGUCAUCAUCUUGAAUUGAUUCCUUUGUCAUUACAUAAUGCCUUCAUUUGUCACUAUGUAAUUUCUUUAUCACUACAUAAUGCCUUCCUUUAUCUCUUUGUUUAAAAGUCUGUUUUGUCUGAUAUAAGUAUUUUUCCUCAUGCUUCCUUUUUGUUUUCAUUUGUAUGGAAUACCUUUUACCAUUCUCUUACAUUAAGUAUGUGUGUAUCUUUAGAUCUGAAAUGGGGUUUUUAAAAGUAUAUUUAGCCACUCCAUGUCUUUUGACUAGAGCAUUUAGUUAAUUUACAUUUAGAGUAAUUAUCAAUUAUCAAUAGGGAUGCACUUAUUGCCCUUUUAAAAACUGAUUUCUGGUGGUUUUAUGGUUCUUUUCCCCCUUCUCUUCCUGUGUUCUGUUGUGAUUUGAUGACUAUUAUUAUGUUUGCAUUCCUUUCUCUUUUUUGUGUAUAUCUAUUUUAGAUACUUGGUUUGUGGUUACCAUGAUAUAUGGUAAAACAUAACAUAUAUAGAGAGAAGGAUCAAGAUGGCAGGGGAGUAAGAUGUCAUGCUUACUUUCUUCCAAAAACACAUCAAAAAAACACAUCUACAUGUAAAAUAAUUUGCACAGAACAUCUAUAGAACUCUGGCAGAGGAACUUAAGCCUCCAAAAAUGGCAAGAAACUCUUGACAUAACUGGACAGAACAAUAGAAAAAUAGAGAGAGAGAUAAUCAGGACAGGACUAGCAUUCUUGAGAGGGAACUGUGAAAGAGAAAAGGAACCCACACCCUGGGAAACCACCUAAUUGACCAGGAGAUCAGCUGAGAUGGAGGGACCUCAAAGUGGCCAAGAAAAGUGCAGCAGUUGGACUGAGGAGGGCAAAGUAGAGUGAGAACAGAACAGAUCAUCUUCACCACCACCCUGGACACCACAGCCUGAGAUGAUUGGGUGGGCCCGGAUGCUGAGACCAGGGCUCCAGAGGUCAGUUCCAGGGAGAGGACCAGGGUUGGCUGUGUGAGGACAGCUUAAGGGACUAAGGAGCAGUGUGGCAUGGGUUGGGGAGCAGUGUGCUAUGGGCUGGGGAGUGGAAUGACAUGGCAGAGGGAACCUGGGAGAAGGUCUUGGCCCAUAGGAGAUGCAAGGUGCCAUUGUUUGGAAGGGCAAAAGCGUGAAGGGUGGACCUCUAUAGGAAUCUCCUGGCACAUGUGCUCAUGGGCUCUCAGAGGGCAGGGCACCUCUGGCGCAGGCUACGUGUGGCCAGGUACCUUUUGUGUGGGCUAAGGGCAGUGGGAAGUAAGUGCGAUGUUGUGCCUCUUGUGUGAUCUACAGGCAGUAGGGUCAGACUGUGGAGGUCAUCUUGAAGACCAGAGGGAACUGUGGCCUGCCACCACUGGGGUCCUGUGAGUGGGCUCCACCCAGGUGGUCAUGGCCCACUACCAUUAAGGGUUCCCAUAGAGGCACCACUUGCAGCCCCAAAUACCUCAGAGGAAGGCAUCACUAUCAAACAUUACCUAUUGCUGCUCUUACUCCCCUGGGAACUCACACACCCUGCUGCUGCCAUUGCCAAAUACUCUGGGCACCUUAUAAGUCUGCUUAAGGCCCAUUACUACUUCCCAGGGCUCUGCAGCUAGGAAUAGCCUGUGCCACCUUCC
Molecule: long non-coding RNA, 1877 nt
Filed under: Sus scrofa (pig)
Lineage: Eukaryota; Metazoa; Chordata; Mammalia; Artiodactyla; Suidae
Description: lncRNA (ENSSSCG00030061597.1)
Source: RNAcentral